Saccostrea echinata is the source of this 807-nucleotide long non-coding RNA. RefSeq lists it as uncharacterized. The record is from RefSeq and is a predicted model, not a curated record. Lineage: Eukaryota; Metazoa; Mollusca; Bivalvia; Ostreida; Ostreidae. The transcript has 2 exons.
UCUUUAACAAUACAGAAUUCUUUUUUCAUCAAAUUUACAUAAUGUACUGAUUAGAUCUCUCGGAAAUGAUAAAACCGUUUAGGUAACAAGGGGGUUAUAAACAACAGCAAUAUUUACAUCCAAGUAUUUGCGCCAAUUUUAAACCACCAGGAAGGUCAUGCCAGGAACAAAGAGAUUGGAGAAAGCGGCAACGAUCGAAGCACAGAUGGUGAAGAAGAGAUCAUAAUCCAUAGGAUAAAUCAGUUGGGCGAUCAAUUGAAUGAUGAAAUAGUCCAUAAAUACUUGAAUUUAAGUGAAGAAAAGAUCUUGCGAGAGUCAAAUGACUAGAAUUGCAACAUUUUCCAUAGAUGCAUGCCAAUGAACUGCAGCUGUUGAGUGUAGCAUCAGGAAUGAAGUGUAUUUUCAAUGCCAGGAGUUAUAAAACAUGAAAAACAUCUUUUUGUGAAUAUUUCUAUGAAAAUGUGAUUGGAGAAUAUAAUAAGAAAUGUGAAUGACAAAACUGCUUGUGAAUUGCAUCUUUUGUGCCAAAUAAGGAGUACAGAGAAUGGCAGGAUUAAUCGGCAUGAUUCUCAAUAAAGUGAUUUCACUGUGAUUAUUGGAAUGUUGCAACUGCUGACUAAACUAAUAUGUCAAUCUUGUAGGUUAAAAUACUGUGAAACAGGAAAAGUUAAUGUAAAUCUAGCAUGUGAUGUGACUGUGAUUUGAAACAGUAAAUGUUCGAUUCUGAUUUUUAAUCAUUUCUCAUUCACAUUUAAGCAUACUGAAAAGUAUUAAUAAAAUAAAAAUUGUGUAUGAUUGUAAGCUUAA